GGGUCCAAUCCCAUCCCCACCUAGUAGCAUCUCAUGCCAAUAGAGUGGUUGCUUCUUUCCUAAUGCAACUAAACCACUGCAUCUAACUAAGAAUAGUCAACAUUGGAGAGGAUACAAUACUCUACCAUGGUAGAAGAUCCUAUGACUUAAUAGUAACGAAGAGAUUUUUAAUUUAGAUCUCUUUAAUCUUAAUUAGUCAUAACUGUUAUGACUAAUCUUAAAGGCAUGGGCUAGCUUACCAAGUAACCAUAUCUAGACUAAUCAACCAAAUUGAU
This 275-nucleotide long non-coding RNA is filed under the name Elaeis guineensis (African oil palm). RNAcentral's name for it is "long non-coding RNA (EGUI_LNC036541)". The record is from RNAcentral. Lineage: Eukaryota; Viridiplantae; Streptophyta; Magnoliopsida; Arecales; Arecaceae.